UCUCUAUUUUUCUAAGAUAAAUCAAUUUAGGGUUUACAAGGUUAUCCAUUUAAAGGGUUAGGAUUUACUUUAUCUGAGUUAUCAGUUUUCAAUCGAAAACAAGCUCAAUGGAAUCUCUUGUAUUCUUCUUCUUCGGCAUCUCAUGAAGCAAUCAAAACCUGCUCGGAAGUACUUCUCGCAACCAUCACACGACCACCAUAUCCGGAAACGGAAAUCUUGCGAAUUCCUAUCCUUAAAUGAUCUGAUUUUACUGUUACUUAAUUUUGGAUUUCUUAAAAGUAUGCGUUCUACGUGUUCGAUGAAAUGAGAAAUGAGAUAGAUACACGCACACGCGCAUAUGGAUAAUCUAACCCAUCUUACGAAAUAUUUUUGUGCAAUCUAUAGAGCCUUAAUUGCCAUAUAACAGCAUGUAUUUGCAAAGUACCAAUUGAUUAUCUUUUCAUCCUGUUAUAAUACAUGCCCUUGGUUUUGUCCCUUUCUCUCUCGCUCUCUCUCGGCAGCUUCGAAACAUCAUUCAAAAUAUGGAAUUUACCUUCGCAAUGCAGCAACCGUUUUCCUAGCGAGUUUCGGUAUAAGAUUUUGGCAAUUGCAAGACUGUUGAAUCUCAAACCUGUCUCUCUGCCUCAAUAACUCUAGGUGACUCACGGUUAUGCCAUCCACUUGGUAUGUAUUCGCCAUUGGAAGCAAAAGGUCAAUAAACUCAGCGAAGAAGUAAGCUUCAGAUAAAGAACAUCUCCGCGGGUGAAGAAUUGGGAUACUUGAAUGAGAUGGCUGGCUAGUUUAGGAUUACAUUUUCUAGAAAGGGAGAUUACAUUAGUGUUUUUUUUAUGAGUGUAAUUAGUCUGAAUCUUAAAUGUAGUGUGUUGGAAAAUUAUUCUCCAAACUAUUGUAAUGAAUCUUCAUCCAUUUGUUGAAUUACUCAUCUUACAUUG
Rhododendron vialii is the source of this 932-nucleotide long non-coding RNA. RefSeq lists it as uncharacterized. The record is from RefSeq and is a predicted model, not a curated record. NCBI's taxonomy places the organism in Eukaryota, Viridiplantae, Streptophyta, Magnoliopsida, Ericales, Ericaceae. The transcript is spliced from 3 exons.